UCUCCGUAGGUGAACCUGCGGAGGGAUCAUUACACAAUAACAUAUGAAGGCUGUACGCGGCUGUGCUCUCGGGCGCAGUGCUGCUGAGGCUGGAUUAUUUAUUUACCCUUGUCUUUUGCGCACCUGUUGUUUCCUGGGCGGGUUCGCCCGCCGCCAGGACCACACCAUAAACCUUUUUUUAUGCAGUUGCAAUCAGCGUCAGUACAACAAAUGUAAAUCAUUUACAACUUUCAACAACGGAUCUCUUGGUUCUGGCAUCGAUGAAGAACGCAGC
RNAcentral lists this unclassified non-coding RNA (274 nucleotides) under uncultured fungus. RNAcentral's name for it is "sequence contains ITS1, 5.8S rRNA gene". The stretch from base 226 to 274 matches the Rfam family "5.8S ribosomal RNA", at positions 1 to 49 of the family's 154-position model. The record is from RNAcentral. Lineage: Eukaryota; Fungi.